RNAcentral lists this ribosomal RNA (160 nucleotides) under Hypoxylon sp. Its description in RNAcentral is "partial large subunit ribosomal RNA". It matches the Rfam family "Eukaryotic large subunit ribosomal RNA", at positions 99 to 261 of the family's 3401-position model. The record is from RNAcentral. Lineage: Eukaryota; Fungi; Ascomycota; Sordariomycetes; Xylariales; Hypoxylaceae.
CGGCAACAGCUCAAAUUUGAAAUCUGGCCCUAGCGGUCCGAGUUGUAAUUUGUAGAGGAUGCUUUUGGUGCGGUGCCUUCCGAGUUCCCUGGAACGGGACGCCAGAGAGGGUGAGAGCCCCGUACGGUUGGACACCUAGCCUAUAUAUAGCUCCUUCGAC